Molecule: long non-coding RNA, 893 nt
Filed under: Callithrix jacchus (white-tufted-ear marmoset)
Lineage: Eukaryota; Metazoa; Chordata; Mammalia; Primates; Cebidae
Description: lncRNA (ENSCJAG00000067077.2)
Source: RNAcentral
AUAAAUAUUGUAUUUUCCUUUCAUUUAUUCUAUUUCUAAUGCUCUUCAUUUCUUUGUGUGGCUUCUAGUUUCUGAUUACAUCCAAUUUCCUCUGUCUGAAGAACCGCCUGAAACAUUUCUCACAGAGUAAGUCUCCUGACAAUAAAUUUCUUUCCUUUUUGAUUGUCUGAGAAAGUCUUUAUUUCUUUUUCACUUUUGAAGGAUAUUUUUGGAGUGUAUAGAAGAAUUCUACGUUGGACGCUUUUUUCUCUCAGCACUUUAGAGAGGUCACUUCAUUGUCUUCUGGGUUUCAUAGUUUCUGAUGAGACAUGGCUUGAUUCUUAUCUUUGUUCCUUGAUAGAUAACUUGUCUAUUUGUUACAGGAACGUGGUCCCAAUCCGGACCCCAGAGAAAGAUCUUGGAUCUCAUGCAAGACAGAAUUCAGGGAACAUGGAUGAAGCUGGAGGCUAUUAUCUUUAACAAACUAAUGCAGGAACAAAAAACCAGAUACUGUAUGUUCUCACGUAUAAGUGGAGCUUAAUGAUGAGAACUCAUGAUUACAAAAAGAGUACAACAGACACUGGGGUCUAUUUGAAGGUGGAGGGUAGAAGAAGGGAGAGGAGAAGAAAAGAUAACUAUUCAUCAUCUGAGUGAUAAAAUCAUCUGUACAAAAAAACCCAUGACAUGAGUUGACCUAUGUAACAAACCUUUGCAUGAACAUUAGAACCUAAAAUAAACAUUUUUUUAAAAGGCAAAUGGGAGUACUCAAUUACAUUGACAUGGAUCAAACUGGGGAGAACUGAUAUUUUAACAGCAUUGAAUCUUUCAGUUCCAGAUAAUGAUAUAUCUCUAUUUAUUUACUUAGGGUUUCUUUAAUUUCUUUUAGCACUAUUCUGUUGUUUUCAGUCUUAAGG